UACGUAGGGUGCGAGCGUUAAUCGGAAUUACUGGGCGUAAAGCGUGCGCAGGCGGUUUUGUAAGACAGAUGUGAAAUCCCCGGGCUCCCCCUGGGAACUGCCUUUGUGACUGCAAGGCUAGAGUACGGCAGAGGGGGGUAGAAUUCCACGUGUAGCAGGGAAAUGCGUAGAUAUGUGGAGGAACACCGGUGGCGAAGGCGGUGGUCUGGGCCGGCACUGACGCUGAGGAGCGAAAGCGUGGGGAGCAAACAGG
RNAcentral lists this ribosomal RNA (253 nucleotides) under uncultured bacterium. RNAcentral's name for it is "partial 16S ribosomal RNA". It matches the Rfam family "Bacterial small subunit ribosomal RNA", at positions 524 to 776 of the family's 1533-position model. The record is from RNAcentral.